This is a non-coding RNA of Pelobates cultripes (western spadefoot toad), 1291 nucleotides long. The record is from the annotation of a GenBank genome assembly. Lineage: Eukaryota; Metazoa; Chordata; Amphibia; Anura; Pelobatidae.
GCAGGGCCGGUCCCUGGCGCCAGGAGGAGGGGGGGUGCUGCGCGGAGCAGGGCCACCUUGGGCGCCCCGGUAGCCAGGCAGAGUAGGCACCUGCUUGUCCCAGAUGGCAGGUGCCUACCCUGCAGGACUAUACCGGCUACGUGAGGAAGGAAGGAGGCAGGCGGCGGCGAGUGAGCACUGCCUCUGCUGAUCUUCCUGCUCCCUCGUGCGCCCUCUCUGGUGACGUCAUUCCGGCCCCGCAUCACUAAACAGCACUCUAGGGAGCAGAGAGGAGCAGGAAGUCACCGGACCCCAGGGAAGGACCCAGAGGACUCCUAAAGGUAGGAGCAACAAGGAAUUUGUGUGUGUGUGUGUGUCUGGAAGUGAGUGUGUGUGUGUGUGUGUCUGGAAGUGAGUGUGUGUGUGUGUGUGUGUCUGGAAGUGAGUGUGUGUCUGUCAGUAAGUGUGUGUAUCUGUCUGUCUGGAAGUGUACGCGUGUGUCUGGAAGUGUGUGCAUGUGUGUCUGGAAGUGUGUGUGUGUGUGUGUCUGCCUGUCAGUGAGUGUUUGUCUGUCAGGGUUUGUGUGUGUGUGUGUGUGUGUGUCUGCCUGUCAGUGAGUGUUUGUCUGUCAGGGUUUGUGUGUGUGUGUGUGUGUGUGUGUAUGUGUCUGUGUCUGCCUGUCAGUGAGUGUUUGUCUGUCAGGGUUUGUGUGUGUGUCUGUGUCUGCCUGUCAGUGAGUGUUUGCCAGGGUUUGUGUGUGUGCUAUUGAGAGUGAGUGCCAGUGUGUCUGUCAGCAGAGCCAGCCUUUGAGGUGUGCAAGCUGUGGGGUCACGUAGGGUGCCAUGACAACAGAGGCGCCCAGUGGCCAACACAGCUCACAAGUUUGGGACACCAGCACAUUAAAGGGACACUCCAGGCACCCAGACCACUUCUGCCCAUUGGAGUGGUCUGGGUGCCAACUCCCACUACCCUUAACCCUUCAACUGUAAAUAUUGCAGUUUUCAUAAACUGCAAUAUUUACAUUGCAGGGUUAACUCCUCCUCUAGUGGCUGUCUACUAGACAGCUACUAGAGGGCACUUCCUGGUUUAUAGCACUGGUUUUCUGUGCUGUAGCGUCGCUGGACGUCCUCACGCUAUGUGAGGACCUCCAGUGUCGCUGAAACCCCCAUAGGAAAGCAUUGAAAGCAUUUUCAAUGCUUUCCUAUGGGGAGAUCUCCCCCGCCUAUGGAGAGGUCUCCCCCGCCGCCGGCCGCGCAUGCGCAAUCGGUCUACCCCGCCGGAUGUCGUCAAUGGAGGAGGAGCGUGGGCAGAG